This 253-nucleotide ribosomal RNA is filed under the name uncultured bacterium. Its description in RNAcentral is "partial 16S ribosomal RNA". It matches the Rfam family "Bacterial small subunit ribosomal RNA", at positions 524 to 776 of the family's 1533-position model. The record is from RNAcentral.
UACAGAGGUCUCAAGCGUUGUUCGGAUUCAUUGGGCGUAAAGGGUGCGUAGGUGGCGCUGUAAGUCGGGUGUGAAAUUUCGGAGCUUAACUCCGAAACUGCAUUCGAUACUGCGGUGCUUGAGGACUGGAGAGGAGACUGGAAUUCACGGUGUAGCAGUGAAAUGCGUAGAUAUCGUGAGGAAGACCAGUGGCGAAGGCGGGUCUCUGGACAGUUCCUGACACUGAGGCACGAAGGCCAGGGGAGCAAACGGG